GUCUGCAUAGAUAGAGAAUAAAUGCUAAUAGACACUAUGAGAUAUGUUCUGAAAAUUCGAGUCUUUAACAUACAAAACUAAAAUUUAAGCAAGCAAAAAUGAAAAUGUGCAAACUGAGUGUCUUUUUUUCUGUCUGCUCUCUAACAAUCAACGAUCCACAGGUCGACUAGUGCUGCUCAAGUAAUUGAAUUAGUGUAAUAGGAGAACUGUCUAAAACUAUCCUCUCCAAGAACAGUCGCGAAAGAUGGGUCUGGUCUGGAGGGUGACCAUCACUUCAACUUCAAAUCGGUUUCCAGAGGAAAUAUUUUCCCGCGGUGAUUAAAGAUCAUGAAAUCCAGAUUGGCAGGCAAAGCGACCACCCUGUUUUCCUCAGAUUGAGGAUGGAUUGACUUGAAAUUUCCAGGGGCAGCCAUUGCAGCCCACAAGCAUAACACUAAACUAACUAUCAAUUCGAUAACAACAUCAAUGGGUGGUCCAGAAAACUCCUCCUCAGUAAUCUUAAGCAAAGCCCUAUAUUGGAUUGUGGAAUAGGUAGCAUGAGAUAGAAUUAGAACGCCGAUGACGCCAACGAGGAAACCGGCACCCAUCUUGGUCGGAGAAUAGAUCGGCGGCCGGUGAAGAAGAUUUUUGACGGCGGAGAUCAAGUAAAAGUGAGCUAAAUCUGCUUUAGCUGGUUGUACUUUGAAGAUUUAGCAGCGUAGAUCCGUAUUUCUAUUCGGGUCGGGUACUUACCCGACAUUAUAUUUAGUCCAAAG
This 755-nucleotide unclassified non-coding RNA is filed under the name Hevea brasiliensis (rubber tree). The record is from RNAcentral. Lineage: Eukaryota; Viridiplantae; Streptophyta; Magnoliopsida; Malpighiales; Euphorbiaceae.